UGUUUGCACUUAGCGGGAAGGGUAAGAACCUUCGACUAAGGUUCGACUCGAGCGCCAGCGAGAGAACGUUGCCGCAGGCAAUGGCCCGAAGGCGAGGCGCUUUAGCGCCGAGUAAUCCUUCCCCCACCACUG
This 132-nucleotide small RNA is filed under the name Klebsiella pneumoniae. RNAcentral describes it as "RtT sRNA". It matches the Rfam family "RtT RNA". From Rfam's summary of the family: This family represents a bacterial cis-regulatory element known as RtT RNA. The exact function of RtT is unknown although it is thought that it may be involved in changing the cellular response in relation to amino acid starvation. Lineage: Bacteria; Pseudomonadati; Pseudomonadota; Gammaproteobacteria; Enterobacterales; Enterobacteriaceae. The record is from RNAcentral. RNAcentral also lists the same sequence under 1 other name.